GACGAACGCUGGCGGCGUGCCUAAUACAUGCAAGUUGAGCGCUGAAGGUUGGUACUUGUACCAACUGGAUGAGCAGCGAACGGGUGAGUAACGCGUGGGGAAUCUGCCUUUGAGCGGGGGACAACAUUUGGAAACGAAUGCUAAUACCGCAUAAAAACUUUAAACACAAGUUUUAAGUUUGAAAGAUGCAAUUGCAUCACUCAAAGAUGAUCCCGCGUUGUAUUAGCUAGUUGGUGAGGUAAAGGCUCACCAAGGCGAUGAUACAUAGCCGACCUGAGAGGGUGAUCGGCCACAUUGGGACUGAGACACGGCCCAAACUCCUACGGGAGGCAGCAGUAGGGAAUCUUCGGCAAUGGACGAAAGUCUGACCGAGCAACGCCGCGUGAGUGAAGAAGGUUUUCGGAUCGUAAAACUCUGUUGGUAGAGAAGAACGUUGGUGAGAGUGGAAAGCUCAUCAAGUGACGGUAACUACCCAGAAAGGGACGGCUAACUACGUGCCAGCAGCCGCGGUAAUACGUAGGUCCCGAGCGUUGUCCGGAUUUAUUGGGCGUAAAGCGAGCGCAGGUGGUUUAUUAAGUCUGGUGUAAAAGGCAGUGGCUCAACCAUUGUAUG
RNAcentral lists this ribosomal RNA (612 nucleotides) under Lactococcus lactis subsp. lactis. RNAcentral's name for it is "bacterial SSU rRNA". It matches the Rfam family "Bacterial small subunit ribosomal RNA", at positions 28 to 622 of the family's 1533-position model. Lineage: Bacteria; Bacillati; Bacillota; Bacilli; Lactobacillales; Streptococcaceae. The record is from RNAcentral.